UUCGAAUGAAACUCUUUCUUGAUUUCUAGAAAGGUAAGAUCGAUGGGAAAAGGGAGAGUGGAAAAAAAUGAUGAUGAUGUAGUUGGAGAGGACUUGAGGGAGGGCCCAAUAAGUGGAAUCCUUGCAAGGACCAAGCAAGAACACAACACACCAAUAAUGCCAUUGAAUACAACUCCUUAAAAGCAGACAAAGACAUACCAAAACCCUAGAUGACAAAAACAGCCUCACAAAAAGUUGCGAGAAGGAAAAAAAAAAAAAAAAAAACUGUAAUUUUUUGGAUAUCUAGCAUUAUUUAAAAAGAUUCUAUCCGUCCUUGACAUGCAAAAGGGGACCCACUUAUUUGCAAAAGAAAAAAAAAAUGGGUGAGGAGAGAGAGGCAAAAGAUACCCUCCCUCAGGAGGAGGUCUCGCAGAAAUUGAAAUGCCAAGAACAAAGCUUGUCAUCACGUGAAAGAUGCUUUUGGGUUUUGAUAAGGAUUGUGUGUGUCUUCUUCGGAAGCAUUUUAAAUUAGGUAUUGUGUUUGUUCUUUUGAUUGAC
This 537-nucleotide long non-coding RNA is filed under the name Prunus persica (peach). Its description in RNAcentral is "long non-coding RNA (PPER_LNC008346)". The record is from RNAcentral. Lineage: Eukaryota; Viridiplantae; Streptophyta; Magnoliopsida; Rosales; Rosaceae.